This 913-nucleotide long non-coding RNA is filed under the name Fragaria vesca (wild strawberry). RNAcentral describes it as "long non-coding RNA (FVES_LNC004979)". Lineage: Eukaryota; Viridiplantae; Streptophyta; Magnoliopsida; Rosales; Rosaceae. The record is from RNAcentral.
UUUCGAUCGAGCCCUUAACGUUGUCGAAUCUAGUUGAAUUUUUUACCAUAGACAUCUUUCGUCAUAAUGAUCAUAUCUGACGGUCAAAUUUUGGUUUGUAAAUUUUAGUCAUCGGAAUCACAACGUGUCUACUAUUUACCGUUAUUAUUCCCUAUGGGGAGCCCUAUCGUCGGAAGGUAAAUGUCUCAAAUUUUAUAUGGGCAGUUGCGUCUCAUCUACGUGAGAGUUUUUUGUGUGGAAGGUUUGACCAAACUACGUAAUAUAGAGGAAGAUAUGAGCGUUUUCGUGUGAUAAGUGACGAUGGAUUAGGGUUGACUGUUUCGAUCGAGCCCUUAACGUUGUCGGAUCUAGUUGAAUUUUUAUUCAUAGACAUCUUUCGUCAUAAUGAUCAUAUCUGACGGUCGAAUUUUGGUUUGUGAAUUUUAGUCAUCGGAAUCACAACGUGUCUACUAAUGUUGUAUAACUUCUUUAGUAGGUUAUACAACUUUGUGAACCAACUCUACAUAGGAAGAAAAUUAAUUAAAAUACUUGUGAAUAAGAUGUGUUCAGAAUGGUGAAAUAAGGCUAUGGUUCAAAAAUACACGUAAAUACGGGUAAAGUCUCGGUGCCGAUAGUAGCGGUCAACCCUAUUUACCGUUAUUAUUCCCUAUGGGGAGCCCUAUCGUUGGAAGGUAAAUGUCUCAAAAUUUUUAUAUAGGCGGUUGCGUCUCAUCUACGUGAGAUUUUUUCGUGUGGAAGGUUUGACCAAACUACGUAAUAUAGGGGGAGAUAUGAGCGUUUUCGUGAAUUUAUAGACUUUAGCCGACGAGAUAUUAAAAAAGUCGUUGGCUAAGGUCAAAAAAUUUCAAAAUUUUUUGGGCGGUAAACCAAAGUUGGAGGAAAAUUUUCAAAGGACUUUAGCCGACGAAAAUAU